Long non-coding RNA from Homo sapiens (human), 1716 nucleotides. Ensembl annotates it as long intergenic non-protein coding RNA 511. NCBI's taxonomy places the organism in Eukaryota, Metazoa, Chordata, Mammalia, Primates, Hominidae. The record is from Ensembl.
AGGGCGCGCAGGCGGCGCGGGUGCGCGGUGCGGCGCUGGUAUCCAGAGGACGCGGUCACCGCCUCUGGCAUUUGUCGUUCUGCGCUUCUCCGCAAGGACCCUCUGUUAGGCAGGCGCCCACCGUAAGCCUCCCGGGCCUUGUGAACCUGCAAACCCAAGUCUGAGAGACGAUCCGCCUUCAGCGCUUUCCAGCUUGGCAGAGAGGCUUUCCCGGCGGGGAUCUUUGGUUGGCGCUGGCGAUGCGCGGGGAAGAAAGGCGAGGAGCGGCGUCCAGGCUGGGUGAUGUCCCAGCACGAGUAGGCGGGAUGCGCUCGCUUGGUCCUCCGGGCGCCCGGUCCCUGCCCGCGUCGCGCGCCCACCCCUGGGGACGAGAAGGCGGCCGCCUGAGGACCCCCGCCCGCGACCUCCGCGAGUCUGGAGCGCAGAGGACAGGGUCUGGCUGCUCUUUGGCCUUGGAUGGAAAGUGGGGAAUUGGGUGGGGGGCUGCGGACCCCUUAACGUGGAUUACUUGGUGUGUAUCAGCUGGGCUCAGAAGACCCACGACCUCUUCUCCAUCCGUGGAUUGAUUUGUUCUGCUUAACAGCUGGGUCGCCAAGCUGGAGGUAUUUUUCCCUCUCCACCCUGGUCUUCUCCUGUAACGUGUGGCCGCCUUUUCCAGCACGGCCUCCUGCCUUCCUGGUGCACUUUUUGGAGAACGUGGUGGAAUCAGAGGUUUCUGGCUGACUCGGUGGGUGCUUUGAACCAGGAAAGGACAAGAAAGAGGUUGGAGUACAGUGGCAUGAUCUCAGCUCACUGCAGCCUCGACUUCCUGGGCUCAAGAAAUCCUCCUGUCUCUGCCUUCCGAGUAGCUGUGAUCACAGUUGUAUGCCAUCAUGCCCAGACCAGAUUUCGCCAUAUUGCUCAGGAUGGUCUUGAACUCCUGGGCUCAAGUGAUCCGCCUGCCUUGGCCUCCCAGAAUGCCAGGAUUACAGAUGUGAGCCACUGUGCCUGGCCUGAAGUCUAGUAAUUUUUAAAACUUUGCAUGUUAUUCUGCUCAUGAGCCAAGUUCGGGUGCCUGUGGAACAGCUAUAUUCCUCAAACUAGAUAUGCACCCCAGUCCCUGGGGAUUCUGUCAAAAGGCAGAUUCACAUUCAGCAGGUCUAGGGUGGGGGGCCUGACAUUCGGCACGUCUCACAAGCUCCCAGGCGAUGCUGAUGGUGCUGGUCCCUGGACGCCCUCUUGAGUAGUAAGGAACAAAAGGACUCUCCCCUGUUCUUUUCAGCUACGUAGCCCAGUGGUUCUCCACUUAGGCUUCACACUGGAAUCAUCCAGGGAGUUUUAAACUAUAGUGAUGCCUGGCGGUGUCUUACUCGCAGAGCUUCUGGUUUGAUUGGUCUAGGUUGCAGCCUGGGCAAGGAGAUUUAAAAACUUCUCAGAUGGGCCAGGCAUGGUGGCUCAAGCCUGUAAUCCCAGCACUUUGGGAGGCAGAGGUGGGCGGAUCACGAGGUCAGGAGAUCGAGACCAUCCUGGCUAGCACGGCGAAACCCUGUCUCUACUAAAAAUACAAAAAAUUAGCUGGGUGUGGUGGCGUGUGCCUGUGGUCCCAGCUGCUCGGGAGGCUGAGGCAGAAGAAUGGCCUGAACCCGGGAGGCGGAGCUUGCAGACAGCCGAUCGUGCCACUGCACUCCAGCCUGGGCGACAGAGCGAGACUCCGUCUCAAAAAAAAAAAAAAAAAAA